RNAcentral lists this ribosomal RNA (471 nucleotides) under uncultured organism. RNAcentral's name for it is "partial 16S ribosomal RNA". It matches the Rfam family "Bacterial small subunit ribosomal RNA", at positions 333 to 796 of the family's 1533-position model. The record is from RNAcentral.
ACACUCCUGCGGGAGGCAGCAGUAGGGAAUCUUCGGCAAUGGGGGCAACCCUGACCGAGCAACGCCGCGUGAGUGAAGAAGGUUUUCGGAUCGUAAAGCUCUGUUGUAAGUCAAGAACGAGUGUGAGAGUGGAAAGUUCACACUGUGACGGUAGCUUACCAGAAAGGGACGGCUAACUACGUGCCAGCAGCCGCGGUAAUACGUAGGUCCCGAGCGUUGUCCGGAUUUAUUGGGCGUAAAGCGAGCGCAGGCGGUUUGAUAAGUCUGAAGUUAAAGGCUGUGGCUCAACCAUAGUUCGCUUUGGAAACUGUCAAACUUGAGUGCAGAAGGGGAGAGUGGAAUUCCAUGUGUAGCGGUGAAAUGCGUAGAUAUAUGGAGGAACACCGGUGGCGAAAGCGGCUCUCUGGUCUGUAACUGACGCUGAGGCUCGAAAGCGUGGGGAGCGAACAGGAUUAGAAACCCCGGUAGUCC